This is a long non-coding RNA of Macrobrachium nipponense, 1925 nucleotides long. RefSeq lists it as uncharacterized. The record is from RefSeq and is a predicted model, not a curated record. NCBI's taxonomy places the organism in Eukaryota, Metazoa, Arthropoda, Malacostraca, Decapoda, Palaemonidae. The transcript has 3 exons.
CUGGAUUUACAGUUACACAUCUUCAGGGCACAAGGAAUGAAAGUGGCAUCAGUGAUAGAGAAAAAGAAAGAGCAUUUAAGCUUCACCAUUCGAAGAAGCAUUAUAUUUUCCAAGCAGCUUCCAAAGAUGAAAGUUUAAGAUGGGUGGCCGCAUUAAAAAAAGCAUCCCAGGCUGAGUUGCCAUCUCCAGUUCAAUGACGAGAGCGGCAGGUGAUCGAGGCCCUCAUUACAUGUCUGUGAGAACAACAUACACUAACCAUUUGGACACACUUUAAUACAUAUAAAAACACAUUCCUUCACACCAUUCAUAGUGUUUAUACAUGAAAAUAGAUGGCUUGGAGAGUAAUGAUGAUGUGUUUAUUCAUUACUGUAAAUUUUGAACUAAACUUUUAUUGUUUUUUAGCAUAUUUAUAUUCAAGAAUUUUAUUUAAAAGUACAGUUUUAAUGUUUCUAAUGAGUGAUAUUCAACUUGUAAUUUUAAUUGAAUUGUAAUUUUCACAGUUCUCAUUAAAGUAACUACCGUACAUUUUGGAUUUUAAUGGCUUUAGUUUGGUAAAAACCAACAUUAUUGAAAUAAAUAUACGUAUAGAGCAAAUGUUUUUGAUACUUUUAACAGAAAAUCAAGAUAUGGCAACAAAGUAAUUUUAUAGUUGAAUGAAUAAAUUUGAAAUAUUAAUUCAUCUGAAGCUGAGAAAGUUUUACUAUGUGAUACAUUUUAAAAGAUUUUCCAGUACCAUUACUCCUGUUUACGUGGACUCUUGUUUACUCGUGGAAAGAAUGGUUUUCAUCAUUAUUGCUCAAAGCUAAUGAUAAUGACAUAUAUCUACCGUACACUUUUCAAAAUAUCCAAAUAACAUGACACCUGCAUUGUGACGUCCACAAUUAGGAACUAAGACCAGAAGUAUAGCAUUAUCAUUUUUAUGACAGUGCUACCAGAUAAAUUAUUACAGUUUAUCACAUCAAUAGCAAACUGUUGUCUCCUCUAGAUUUUCUGUGGCAAAGGAGAAUACUGUUGAAUCAUUUUAAGCUUGGGCAUGUAUUGCAAAUAUGCCUUGUACAUUUCAAAAGUUUACAGUUUUUUUCAUUUUAAUACGUAUGAGUAUACAGAUGAAAAGAUGAGUAUUAUUUUUUAAAAAUCAAGUAUACUAAAGAGUACAAGUAAUCACUCAAUUACAUGAAGUCGGAAUAUGUAGCCUGAAUUAAAAUGAUUGGCAGUAUCUUUUGGGAUUUUGCCCUCUGUUUCUCUAUAACUGUAAACUUGGAUAAUACUGUACUGCAUUGGUAAAAUGUAUGGAAUUAUCAAUUAUCAGGUAGUGUUAAAAUCUUGAGUGUAGAUUAGGAAUACAUAUGUGUACAAUAUAUCUAGAUUAGCACUGAAGUGUUUGGUAUUGGACUUCUAAAUUGAAACUUCAUGAAGUUUUCAUUGAGCUGUUGCAUCUCCACAUAAAACUUUAUUUAAUCUAAUAAGAAAUGGAUGACAUUUAUUGAAGCAAUCAGUAAUGUAUCAUUGACACAGGCAAAAGAAGGUUCUGAAAUUUGAUGGAGUUUUGAUUUACUGUGUUUGGAAGUACAUCUGUGAUGGAUGAGCAAUAUAGGAACUUCUAGAAACCAAGUUUUCUUCUUCUUGGCUUGUUGUCAUUAACAUGUGCACCUGCCUCUCUUCUUCUUUGCUUGUUGUUUUUCUUUUACGCUUCACAUCAUUUGUUGAUCGUUAGAGGAACACAAAAGAAAAAAGGCUCGUUAAAUAAGCAUAUCAUUUUGGUAAUACAAUGCUUGUACGAUUGUUUUUAGCUGAGCUUACUUUCAUUCCUGGGAUUUGAUUAAUUUAACAAGUUUUCCAACGGAUUUCCAAGUCACUACAAAAUUGAGCAAUACUGUAGAAAGUUUCAGUUGCCAACAAAGCAUUACACAUUUAGCAGGUUUGGU